GUUGCUUCACGACUGGAAGGAUGGCCUGAUAAUAAUUGUUUGGUUAUCCUGUAGAGGGAAGCAUAGAUUGCUUUUUAACCAGAAUUAAACAGCAUGGCGCUUUAUUUCACCGCGUCAAUGUUACCUGUCUCCUGGUACAUUU
RNAcentral lists this small nucleolar RNA (142 nucleotides) under Leersia perrieri. RNAcentral's name for it is "snoRNA snoR137". It matches the Rfam family "small nucleolar RNA snoR137". Lineage: Eukaryota; Viridiplantae; Streptophyta; Magnoliopsida; Poales; Poaceae. The record is from Rfam by way of RNAcentral.